Molecule: ribosomal RNA, 2372 nt
Filed under: Streptomyces sp. NRRL S-448
Lineage: Bacteria; Bacillati; Actinomycetota; Actinomycetes; Kitasatosporales; Streptomycetaceae
Description: bacterial LSU rRNA
Rfam family: Bacterial large subunit ribosomal RNA
Source: RNAcentral
GGUCGUGACUGCGUGCCUUUUGAAGAAUGAGCCUGCGAGUUAGCGGUGUGUAGCGAGGUUAACCCGUGUGGGGAAGCCGUAGCGAAAGCGAGUCCGAAUAGGGCGAUUGAGUUGCACGCUCUAGACCCGAAGCGGAGUGAUCUAGCCAUGGGCAGGUUGAAGCGGAGGUAAGACUUCGUGGAGGACCGAACCCACCAGGGUUGAAAACCUGGGGGAUGACCUGUGGUUAGGGGUGAAAGGCCAAUCAAACUCCGUGAUAGCUGGUUCUCCCCGAAAUGCAUUUAGGUGCAGCGUCGUGUGUUUCUUGCCGGAGGUAGAGCACUGGAUAGGCGAUGGGCCCUACCGGGUUACUGACCUUAGCCAAACUCCGAAUGCCGGUAAGUGAGAGCACGGCAGUGAGACUGUGGGGGAUAAGCUCCAUGGUCGAGAGGGAAACAGCCCAGAGCAUCGACUAAGGCCCCUAAGCGUACGCUAAGUGGGAAAGGAUGUGGAGUCGCAGAGACAACCAGGAGGUUGGCUUAGAAGCAGCCACCCUUGAAAGAGUGCGUAAUAGCUCACUGGUCAAGUGAUUCCGCGCCGACAAUGUAGCGGGGCUCAAGCGUACCGCCGAAGUCGUGUCAUUGCAGCAAUAGGGCCAACGCCCGCUGUGAUGGGUAGGGGAGCGUCGUGUGCCGGGUGAAGCAGCAGCGGAAGCUAGUUGUGGACGGUUCACGAGUGAGAAUGCAGGCAUGAGUAGCGAUACACACGUGAGAAACGUGUGCGCCGAUUGACUAAGGGUUCCUGGGUCAAGCUGAUCUGCCCAGGGUAAGUCGGGACCUAAGGCGAGGCCGACAGGCGUAGUCGAUGGACAACCGGUUGAUAUUCCGGUACCCGCUUUGAAACGCCCAAUAUCGAAUCAGGCGAUGCUAAGUCCGUGAAGCCGUUCCGGACCCUUCGGGGAAAGGAAAGUGGUGGAGCCGACGAACCAGACUUGUAGUAGGUAAGCGAUGGGGUGACGCAGGAAGGUAGUCCAACCCGGGCGGUGGUAGUCCCGGGGUAAGGGUGUAGGCCGAGGGGUAGGCAAAUCCGUCCCUCAUUAAGGCUGAGACCUGAUGCCGAGCCGAUUGUGGUGAAGUGGAUGAUCCUAUGCUGUCGAGAAAAGCCUCUAGCGAGUUUCAUGGCGGCCCGUACCCUAAACCGACUCAGGUGGUCAGGUAGAGAAUACCGAGGCGUUCGGGUGAACUAUGGUUAAGGAACUCGGCAAAAUGCCCCCGUAACUUCGGGAGAAGGGGGGCCAUCACUGGUGAUCGGAUUUACUCCGUGAGCUGGGGGUGGCCGCAGAGACCAGCGAGAAGCGACUGUUUACUAAAAACACAGGUCCGUGCGAAGCCGUAAGGCGAUGUAUACGGACUGACGCCUGCCCGGUGCUGGAACGUUAAGGGGACCGGUUAGUGACCUUUCGGGGUUGCGAAGCUGAGAACUUAAGCGCCAGUAAACGGCGGUGGUAACUAUAACCAUCCUAAGGUAGCGAAAUUCCUUGUCGGGUAAGUUCCGACCUGCACGAAUGGCGUAACGACUUCUCGACUGUCUCAACCAUAGGCCCGGUGAAAUUGCACUACGAGUAAAGAUGCUCGUUUCGCGCAGCAGGACGGAAAGACCCCGGGACCUUUACUACAGUUUGAUAUUGGUGUUCGGUUCGGCUUGUGUAGGAUAGGUGGGAGACUUUGAAGCAGCCACGCCAGUGGUUGUGGAGUCGCCGUUGAAAUACCACUCUGGUCGUGCUGGAUGUCUAACCUCGGUCCGUGAUCCGGAUCAGGGACAGUGUCUGAUGGGUAGUUUAACUGGGGCGGUUGCCUCCCAAAGGGUAACGGAGGCGCCCAAAGGUUCCCUCAGCCUGGUUGGCAAUCAGGUGUUGAGUGUAAGUGCACAAGGGAGCUUGACUGUGAGACCGACGGGUCGAGCAGGGACGAAAGUCGGGACUAGUGAUCCGGCGGUGGCUUGUGGAAGCGCCGUCGCUCAACGGAUAAAAGGUACCCCGGGGAUAACAGGCUGAUCUUCCCCAAGAGUCCAUAUCGACGGGAUGGUUUGGCACCUCGAUGUCGGCUCGUCGCAUCCUGGGGCUGGAGUCGGUCCCAAGGGUUGGGCUGUUCGCCCAUUAAAGCGGUACGCGAGCUGGGUUUAGAACGUCGUGAGACAGUUCGGUCCCUAUCCGCUGUGCGCGUAGGAAUAUUGAGAAGGGCUGUCCCUAGUACGAGAGGACCGGGACGGACGAACCUCUGGUGUGCCAGUUGUCCUGCCAAGGGCAUGGCUGGUUGGCUACGUUCGGGAGGGAUAACCGCUGAAAGCAUCUAAGCGGGAAGCCUGCUUCAAGAUGAGUAUUCCCACCUCCUUGA